GAUGAACGCUGGCGGCGUGCCUAAUACAUGCAAGUCGAGCGAACAGACGAGGAGCUUGCUCCUCUGACGUUAGCGGCGGACGGGUGAGUAACACGUGGAUAACCUACCUAUAAGACUGGGAUAACUUCGGGAAACCGGAGCUAAUACCGGAUAACAUGUUGAACCGCAUGGUUUAACAGUGAAAGACGGUCUUGCUGUCACUUAUAGAUGGAUCCGCGCCGCAUUAGCUAGUUGGUAAGGUAACGGCUUACCAAGGCAACGAUGCGUAGCCGACCUGAGAGGGUGAUCGGCCACACUGGAACUGAGACACGGUCCAGACUCCUACGGGAGGCAGCAGUAGGGAAUCUUCCGCAAUGGGCGAAAGCCUGACGGAGCAACGCCGCGUGAGUGAAGAAGGUCUUCGGAUCGUAAAACUCUGUUAUUAGGGAAGAACAAAUGUGUAAGUAGCUAUGCACGUCUUGACGGUACCUAAUCAGAAAGCCACGGCUAACUACGUG
Molecule: ribosomal RNA, 497 nt
Filed under: uncultured bacterium
Lineage: Bacteria
Description: partial 16S ribosomal RNA
Rfam family: Bacterial small subunit ribosomal RNA
Source: RNAcentral